RNAcentral lists this ribosomal RNA (465 nucleotides) under Vreelandella stevensii. RNAcentral's name for it is "partial 16S ribosomal RNA". It matches the Rfam family "Bacterial small subunit ribosomal RNA", at positions 338 to 795 of the family's 1533-position model. The record is from RNAcentral. Lineage: Bacteria; Pseudomonadati; Pseudomonadota; Gammaproteobacteria; Oceanospirillales; Halomonadaceae.
CCUACGGGAGGCUGCAGUGGGGAAUAUUGGACAAUGGGCGAAAGCCUGAUCCAGCCAUGCCGCGUGUGUGAAGAAGGCCUUCGGGUUGUAAAGCACUUUCAGUGGGGAAGAAAGCCUUGGGGCUAAUACCCUCGAGGAAGGACAUCACCCACAGAAGAAGCACCGGCUAACUCCGUGCCAGCAGCCGCGGUAAUACGGAGGGUGCGAGUGUUAAUCGGAAUUACUGGGCGUAAAGCGCGCGUAGGCGGUCUGAUAAGCCGGUUGUGAAAGCCCCGGGCUCAACCUGGGAACGGCAUCCGGAACUGUCAGGCUAGAGUGCAGGAGAGGAAGGUAGAAUUCCCGGUGUAGCGGUGAAAUGCGUAGAGAUCGGGAGGAAUACCAGUGGCGAAGGCGGCCUUCUGGACUGACACUGACGCUGAGGUGCGAAAGCGUGGGUAGCAAACAGGAUUAGAUACCCCGGUAGUC